Molecule: ribosomal RNA, 637 nt
Filed under: uncultured bacterium
Lineage: Bacteria
Description: bacterial SSU rRNA
Rfam family: Bacterial small subunit ribosomal RNA
Source: RNAcentral
GCUUAACCGGAGAAGUGCAUCGGAAACUGAUAAACUUGAGUGCAGAAAUGGAUAGUGGAACUUCAUGUGUAGCGGUGAAAUGCGUAGAUAUAUGAAGGAACACCAGUGGCGAAGGCGGCUAUCUGGUCUGUAACUGACGCUGAGGCUCGAAAGCAUGGGUAGCAAACAGGAUUAGAUACCCUGGUAGUCCAUGCCGUAAACGAUGAAUGCUAGGUGUUGGAAGGUUUCCGCCUUUCAGUGCCGCAGCUAACGCAUUAAGCAUUCCGCCUGGGGAGUACGACCGCAAGGUUGAAACUCAAAGGAAUUGACGGGGACCCGCACAAGCGGUGGAGCAUGUGGUUUAAUUCGAUGCUACGCGAAGAACCUUACCAGGACUUGACAUCUUCUGCCAAUCUAAGAGAUUAGACGUUCCCUUCGGGGACAGAAUGACAGGUGGUGCAUGGUUGUCGUCAGCUCGUGUCGUGAGAUGUUGGGUUAAGUCCCGCAACGAGCGCAACCCUUGUCUUUAGUUGCCAGCAUUAAGUUGGGCACUCUAGAGAGACUGCCGGUGAUAAACCGGAGGAAGGUGGGGAUGACGUCAAAUCAUCAUGCCCCUUAUGUCCUGGGCUACACACGUGCUACAAUGGGCGAUACAACG